AGAAGUAAAAUUUCCAGGAUGAAACUAGAUGGUGGUGAUCAUGUCCACUUGCUGAAUUUCAUGUGCUCUAGUUUGAUGAAAUUCUCUGCUUCUUUGUCAAUGUCCUCAUACUUUGCCACCCUCUCACUCUUCACCUUCCUUUUAUGAUGAGAUGGAACCUUCAUCACGUUACUCAAGUCUUCGCAUUCAAUAACUUGGCUCGGCGUCUCAGCCAUAGAGACCCAGUGAAGGUGAUGGUGAUAGCGAUGGUGAUGAUGACUGUUAUGUUCAAGGAAAGUACUAAAUACCAUUUUUCUAAUAAAAGGUCUUGUUUGCUCUGUACUUGCUGUUACAUAUACAUUUGAAAUCAUCAGAGGUACUAUAUAUAUGACAUGUUAUAGGAUUGAAGUCUAAUGAUAAGGCUGAAUCCGAUACCUUUUUUUACUUUUCCCGUUAUCUCCCGUUUGGAACAAUUAAAUAGAUUAUUCCAGGUUUGGCCAAAAUUCUUGGACCUUUAAAUUUAUAGAUUAUGCACUUAUCUAUUGUUGUAUAACUUUAUGGUUCAAUAUUUAACAGUAACAAAAGAUUGGUACACCGUACACGUGAUCAGCGUCAACAAGAAGGAAUACAAACAAGUUAACAUGGAAAAAUUGACGAGGUUGGCCAAUGGAAUGAGAGGAUAGUUGUUAUUAUUAGGAACGAGAAUAUAUGCUCGUGCUCAGAAAAAUAGUACACGAAAGUAACUGUUGGUUAUUCGAGGCACUAGAUGCCUGAAACAACUGAUCAAAGUGGCGUGUUUUGACCGCAACUUAGUAACGAACAUUGGAAAAAUACAUGUGUCUAACUAUGUUCAGAUUAAGGCUUAUUUUCUUUGUGGAAUGGUCUCUUCAAUCAUGCAUGUUGAUGGAAAUUGCAUCUAAUGCUUGCAAAUAUUGAAGAGUCUCUUAACACAGACCACGUAAGCUUUUGGGUGGGUCUUUGAUCCAUCCUUUUCAUUAAGACCUUAAGUCAACUUGGGUAUUCCUUGUCGAGAUAUACAUAAGUUUGUAUUUUUUAUUUACAUAAGUUUUAUCACGAGUGUUAUACUCUACAUUAUCUUGUGAGACCUAAUAUAUGUUAUCAAUGUCCGUUAGCCUCAAGCGAUCGUAUCCGAAUCUAAAUAAGCAAUCCAAAAACCAAACUAUGUUUUAAUACAACAUGAAUUCACUUCACUGUAUUUUAGAAAACUGAAAACUAAAACCAAAUCGAAUUGAGGAAAAAAAAUGAUCCUAUACAAAAUUUCUGUGAAAAUUAAGAUUUGUUUCAUUAAACCCCGAAUCCAAACUGAAAACAAAAUUCAAAAGUAAUUCUCUAAAUUUUAAUUUAAUUUUACCGCUUACAAUCGUACACCAAACUUAAGUCCAGAACUAGAUUUUGAUCCGCGCAGGCGCGCGGGUGUAUAUUUUGAAAAAUAUGUUGAUAUUUGUUUUUCAUGUAAUUAUUAAGAUUUGGAAAAAUGAAUCCGAAGAACAUAACCGAUACCGAUCCAAAGAUAUAGUACCAAACCCAAACAUAAAUUGAUUAAAUAUUCUAAUUAUUCAAAAUUUUGUUAUUUAGAGAACCGAAUCUGAUCCGAACCGAAGUAUUUGGGUAUCCGAAUUUAUCUAAAAAUAGAUUUAUAUACUUAUAUAUAUUAAUUAUUUUUAGAUUUAACGUAUAUAAAACAUCAAAAAUGAUACUUUUAAAUUGGUUUAAAUACUUGAAAAUAUAUAUAGAUAGUCAAAAGUAAAUAUCUGAAAUAGUUAAAGUAUACUCAAAUCACCAAAAAUACUUAAAAUAAUUAUUGAUUUCGUAUCCAAAAUUUUAAAUCAAGCCAAUUGAUAUGUUAAGCUUAAGUAUUAUGACAUAUGUUAUUCAAAUUUAUACGUAAUAUAUUAUUUUAUUUAUACAUUUUGAGAAAUUUAAAAUAUAUAAUGAUUUAAGACUUUAAAAAUAAUUUAAAUUAGUUAUCCAAACCCAAACCAAACCCGCAAAGAUCCAAAUCGAACUCAAACCAAAAUUUAGAAACAUUCUAAUAAGGCUGAAAUCUUUGACCCCGAAAACCCAAAAUACAAACCGAUCAGAACUAAACCCGUAUGGGUAUCCAAAAGCCCAUCCCUAGUCAUUAUUAUAUAUCGUAUUUUAUCAUCAUAUAAUUAAUCGUAUUUUAUAUGUACCAUCAUAUAAGUAAUCAUAUAAUUAAUAGUAUUUUAUACAUACCAUCAUAUAAAUAAUUACAUAUAUUAUAUUUUUAAAACUUAAUAUGAAAUAUGAAAACCAUAAUUUGAGUUGGUAUUUCAAAUUGGGCUUUGUAUUAUAUUUUUCUUAUAUAUAUUGACAAUAUUUUUUUAUAAUGGUUAUUGAAAAAUAGUUUAGUAAAAAUCCAUUUUUGAAUAUAUGUAUAUUUUUGAAUCAAUUUUUGAUAUAAAUCAAAUUUGAAUUAUUAUUUUGAUUUGAAAUAUGUAUAUAAAGUUUAAAUUUUGUUUUAUGGUUAGUUUAGAAAAUUUUUUUUUAGGGAAUUAGAUUGACCCAUUUUGGUAUAUUUUAAAAGUGGCCUAGAUAACUUUCAAUUUUUUUAAAAAACAUAAGCCCAUUACUUUUUUUCUUAAUACUACUAUUCUUGUUUUCAAACAAAAAUAUUUUUUUUUAAAAGACUGCAAUCCAUGUUUCCAAACACUCAAAAAUUUUUAAAAGUCCUAUUCAAGUCUCCAAACACUCCAAUUUUGUACUUGAGUUUUAAUAAGAUAGAUGAACAUUUAUCACUUAUCAGCUACCAAUAAGAAAAAUAAUUUUCUGUGAAGAAGUUAGUCACGCCUCUAAGUUGAAUAGUUGGUACUAAUUAUGUUUUGUUAUAUUUUCUUGGAAAUAUACUUAUAUUUUUACGCUAACUGACUCAUACAAUCAACACAACUAUAUGAUACAUAUGAAUAAAAACAUAAUGCGUCAACUGAUUCAAAUCCCCAAAAACAUAACAUUGUUUUAGUUUAUUAUGUUGAUACUCCAACUGCACUCAUAAUUUCACGGUGAAUCCAAGCGAAGCAAUUGAUGAAGUUUUAUAGUUUGGAUUGUGAGCAUCCAGUGGACAUAAGAUGAUCUCAGAAUAAAUUUAUCCAGUUCUUGUGUUUAAGGUUUUCAAUUUCUAAAGAAAGAAUAUUAUGGCAAACACCUUUAUAUCACUUGCAACUGAUUGACGAUCCUCAGGUUUUUCUUUUGGGGCUAAAAUUGAGCUAAUGCCAUAUGUAUAUGCUACCUUUAAGUUACACCAUAUGACCAUUAUUUCUUAAAAAACUAAUAUUUGUGACUUUGUGCAAUCAAUUUUUCCACGUGCAUGGAACAGUAAAUUCAUAAUACUUGCAUCAUUUUUAUUUAACAUAAGCAGCAACAACAACACACCUUUUAGUAAUCAUAAGUUUCUCAAACAAGAACACUUCCUUUAUUUUUUGCUAAAAGGCCUAUGUUUAGGUUUAGUAGGAUACUGAAACAUGUUCCUCACACACACAUCUUAAUUAUAGUUUCGUUAACUGGUAUUAUACAUAAUCAUUACUUUUUAUUUGAACCGGUAGAGUAGUUGGUUGCAGUUAGAGGCCCUUACUCCCCCACCCGGCCUUGUGGUGGCCGCCUCCGCUGUUUGGGUUCAUGUAGACAUGAUGUGGUAACACCUGAGGAGCCAUAAGCCUGUCCUGGUGCUUCAUUCCGUGCGCACCGUGGUGCUUCAUCCCGUGCUCACCGUGGUGCUGCAUCCCGUGCUCACCGUGGUGCUGCAUCCCAUGCCCACCGAGGUAUGCAUCUUCAUGCCUCCCCUGCCAUCCAUUACCCAUAUUUCCCUGCCAAUCAUCGUUAAAAAAAUUACAAACGGUGAGAAACCAUACAAAAAUCAUAAAAAUAUUUAAUUGGAUGGACAGUUGGUGCGUUUGCAUAUGAGUUACCAUAUCAUAGCAAAUUCCAAAAUAUGUAAAUCAGAAUCCAUUUAAUUUUCAGCAUAAAGUUUCCGGACUUCCAAGUAUUUUAAACACCUCAACACAUGUAACCUAAUGGUGUGGAGUAUAUCAAGUAUUCUUAUUAUUGAAAAAUAUGGUUAAAGUCACUUUGGAAUAACGUCUACAACAGAAUAUGAUUAAUUAAGUUGUGACACCUUAAAAGAUAGCUUACAUUGUUGUGAGGUUGAGACAUCGGAGGUGGGGGCAUGAAGUUCAUAUGAGGUGGUUGUUGGUGGUGGAUUUUGCCGUGGUGGGGUAACACUGUAGUGUGGUGGCUUCGGCUACUCUUAUAGAACUCCUCUACAUCUGAGUCGGAGUCUUCUUCAUCACAGGGUGGCAUGUGAGCCAUGGGUGGAUGGGCGUGGUUGGCUGGAAGCCUCACGCGGUGGUCGUAGCGGGCUUGACGGUCAAAGUAGCCUCCUUCUGACUCCAUAUGAGACUCGUACUUCUUGUGCUCCUCAAAACCGUAGCCGCUGCUUCUGUGAUCCUUGUGGCCGUACCCAUUGCCGUAUCCAUGCCCGUACUCUCCGAUAAGUUUGUCAAGCAUUUUUUGUUUAUUUAUAAAUAUACUUGGCUUAGUUUUCUUUGAUGUGAGGACGUGAUUAAAAUAUUUCUGUGUCUCCAUAUAUAUACAAGAUACAAGACGUGUAGUGUAAUGUUUGAUAUGAUUCCCUCUCUCAAUUACUCAUAUAAUGAUGACUAGAUUUUGACCCGCACGCCCGUGCGGGUGUAUUUUUUUAAAAAAUAUGAUGCUAUUUGAUUUUUAUGUCACUAUUUAGGGUUGGUAAAAAAACUCGAAUUCGAAGAAUUGAACCGAUCUCAAUCCGAAUAAGUAGUACUAAAUCUGAACCGGAAUUGAUUAAAUAUCCGAAUUAUUCAAAAUUUUGGUAUUUGAAGAACUGAAAUCUAAUCCGAUCCGAACCGAAGUAUUUUAGGUAUCCAAAAUAGAUUUAUAUACUUAUAUACAUUAAUUAUUUUUAGAUUUAAUAUAUAUAAAAACAUCCAGAAUAUAUAUGAUCUAAAUAUAUACAAAUAAUCAAACGUAAAUACUUAAAUAUAUGAUGUAAAUAUUUAAGUUCGCUUAAAUGCUUGAAAAUAUGAUGUAAACUUUUAAGUCCGCUUAAAUGCUUAUAUAUUCGCUUAAAUGCUUGAAAGUAUAUAUAUAUAUAACAGUUAUUAGAAAAUAACUAAUAACUAUUAUAAAAAUGUUUUCUAUAUAUAUAUAUAUAUUUGAAUAAAUUUUUGAUAUAAUUUUAAAUUAUUAUUUUGAUUUGAAUAUAUUAUAUAUCAAAUAACAUAAAUCCAUUACUUUUUAAUAUAAUGUAAUGGACUUCCAAUUUUUAGUAGCUAAGCCCAUUAUUUUUUUUCCUAACUUACUACUAUCCAUGUUUCCAAACAUUACUAUUUUUUUAACUACUAUUCAUAUUGCCAAACAAUCUCAAUGUGUACUUCAACUUUAAUAAUAUAGAUAUUUAUCUGAAUCUUAUUCUCUUUUCCACCACCACCACACCGAAAGUUGAGUAGACACAUUUUCAGAAUUCUGAUUCGGUUCAUAUUUUUAAUUGAUAUGUCCAUUCAAGUGUGAAAUCGAAUUCUACAUUGGCUGAAUACAAAUAAAAAAAUAAUAACCAAACUGAAAUUAAACAUGCUAUAGUUUCUAUUUAUAGAUUAUAAGACUUAAAACUAAUUAAGGUGGAAGUACAACGCUUUGUGUUCAUAUUUUUAUGGAUAAACUCAUUAUUAUUCGUAACCUCGCCUUAAAUUCAAAAGCAUCUUUGAUUCUUAGCUGAUCAUUUUGUGGUUGAAGUUCCAAGUUGAGGGUUUGCCAUACUCUUAUAAGUCAUAACUGAUUAUUAACAAGUUAAGUUGCUUUUAAUAUUCAAAACUCAUAUAUUAUUGAUGUAAAAGUAUUAAAACUCUCAUUUGAAUUACUGGAUUAAGGAAAGCUCCACAAAAGAAUGGUAUAGACAAAUGUGGAGCUGGAAAAAAAAAUAGGAAAGAACAAAACGUGUAAUCAUCUUAUACUUAAUCCCAAAAAAGGAACACGAGUCUAAUGCGUUUGCAUAACAAUUAUCAAUAAUGGUCUCAAACGGAUAUCCACCAGAAUCUUCUAAUUGACCAACGACUUGAGUCAACAUGGGCAGCCUUUUAAUAAGUCUCUCAACGUUCAAAGAACCGACUCUUUCUCGAGUUUCAAAUAUCCAAGGAAUGGUCAAUUUCGAAGAAAUGUGUUGAGGAGAAUCGUCACAAUCUAACACGUUACCACAUCUCACCGAGAACGCCGUCCUUGUCUCAUUCUUCGCGUUUGUCUAUAAACAUAGGGAGAUAAGAUCAAGAAAUAGUAGUAGUAGUCGUCGCUCUGUAUUAUUAUAAUCUUCCCAAACCAAGUUGUCGUUGCUCACCAAGCCUGAUUUAUCUUCUCUACUUUCAGACACAACUCGGGUUUUCUUUGUUUGUCUCCUGGUUUUGUGUGAUGGAAAUGAAGAACAAGCCAAAUAAUGGAAACGAAGAUGGUCCGAAACAUAGCCAAGUGGUGAAGAUAAAGAAAGAAUUCGAAAAGAUAAGUCAGCCAUCGCUACAGCAACCGGAGAUGAGAAGGGUCCUCGCGGAAACCAAGAGGCGUCAACGUUCACGUUCACCUCUCGGCUUAGGAGAGAGAUCUAUUCCCGUUGGGGAUUAAUGUUCCAUCGUUCACCUUUGUAACCGAGAGAGACAGUAGUAGUAGAAGAAGAGCCUCCUUACGAGAGUUCUGAAUAGUUACAGUCUUGCAGACUUUGUUGUAUAUAUGACUCUGUUGUACUUGUAUGUGUCUUCAUGUAUAUACUCUUUGGUGUGAAUAUCAUCUAUGAAUCUCCCUUCCUUGCAGCGUAAACUCUUGAAUAUGAUCUAAACAUAUAAACACAGAAGCAGGAGUUUCUUUAAACGAAGCACAAAACUCUAUAUAGAAGGCACCAGCCAUGUCAUGAUGUCUGAAUCUGGAUUUACAUGACAUGUAUGUGAAAGAUAGGUAUUGUCACAAUAACUGAAAGAAAACUACUUGAGACACCCAAAACAUGUUAUUGAUUCAACCUGAGGGAGAGCUCUUAAAAACCUGAGGGAGAGCUUAUACGUUUCCUUCUGUCAAAGAAGAACCAAUCUGAAGCAUUAGAGGAUAAACUGGACUAAACUCUUUGUCCCCUCUCGAUUUUAUCUUCACUGCAUAAUCAUCCAAAGUCGCUUUAACCCCCUUCCAGAUCUGAUCCUCUUUUUGGUUAUCAAGCCACAGCGAGUACUGCUUAGGACUCAGUCUGUUCUUCUGCAUCGGUGACUCUAACUCGUCUGGGCCUCUCGUGUAGAGAUGAUGCAGGACGAUGCUCGGUGGUAGAUCCUGGAUGAGAGGAGAUGAUCCCAUUUCGGAUGUUUCCAGGAAUAUCAACGGCCUAAAUGCUCUGAGAGCUCUGUACGGUGCACCGAGUUGCUCCACAGGGAACAGAUUCUGUCCCACCGCGAGUUCCAGCUCCGCCAUGUCUCUAGCCAUCCUGAGUUUUCCCCAUUCUGACAGUGGCCUCACCAGGGAAGCAUGCCUGAUGUAGAAGAUCAAAACCCUUGAAGCCAUUUGUCUCGCGAGUCUAGUGCAGAUCGAUUCUGUCCCUGCAGCGUUCGCGCUAGCUGCUGAAGGCAACAGUCUAGAUAGGAACUCUCUGCGGAAGUGGAGAAUCGAUCUCUGCAGCUCCUCCAUGUAUGGGGAAGUGUUGUUGUCCAAGGCAGCAUCAUCAACGCCAAAGUUUUGGUCGUGGAUCUGAAGAAUGCAUGACUCGAGCUGGUCUCGCAUUGCUUUAAACAGAGGUGUAACUGGCUCGCAUGCCGCAGCGUAUAUCGCACCCAGAUGAGGAGACAAUACAUCGGCGGCGAUACUGGGAAGGUCAGCUACCAUGGAUGAGAUAUGCGUGUGGAUUCCUUGCAGAUGCUGGCAUAAUGUGAAGUUCCUGAUCUGUGUUGAAGUUGCUGGACCUGUUAUCUGACGCGUCUCAGGGCCUGUAGAGAUCUGUUAUAUACACGUAGCUGUGUUAACACAUGUACAUUUGAAGCAUUAGAGAAGAGAAAAGAAGCUUAGCAUACCUGGCACUCAGCUCGUUGAGCAAGGUUACUAAGGGCCUUGCCUAUCUCACGCAAAACUAGAAGAGUCAAACGACCAUCAGGAUGAACAGCUUCGAUCUCGUCUUGAAUGUGUGAUAACACCUGUGAGAUCUGUUCUUUGGAAGGCAAACUCCCACGGCUCGACAUAGGGAAUAUAGAGUUCACAAGAUCUGACAACCUUCCAAAGCACAGUGAUAAGAAAGCAGUCUGGAAUAUCGCAAUGCAUGAAACCAUUUGUUCUUUCCUCUCUGAGUUAACCGCAGGUAACACUCCUUUCACAUCGGUGUCGCGAGCGAUCCUUUCAAGGAGGUUUUCUAUCAUAGACACUAGCUUUGGAUAUCCCAUGGUGAAUAUUUCUUUCACGAAACUCGAAGCUGUGAAUGCAGACUUCAUUUGGCUAGUAAACGCCUUCACAAGUGCAUCCCAGACUCUGUCUGUUAGCAUAGAAUCACCUUCCUGUCGCAUAUAAACACUUCAUAUCAGUAAUAAAACCUCAAAAUAAAGGCUGGAAUCUAAUUUAACCAAUAUCCCCCUGAAUCACGAAAACACAUACCAAAGGCUUCAUUUUUUAUGCAAAACAUGGAAGAAUCAUAAACUAAAGUUGAUCAAGCAUCAAUCAUGCUCUCUCUCAAGGUGACAAGAAUCAUCUCAUCCACAUCCAAUAACACUAUAUCUCUUUCUCUCAGUUACCUAAUGCAGCUUAAACUAACGAGUAAACUCUGAGAGCCUAAGUUUCCAGUGAAAUUCAAGAAGUUCCUUAAACCUUGAUCUUAACCCUGACAUCACAAAAAUCACAUACCAAAAACUUCAUUUUUAUGCAGAAACAUGGAAGGAUCAUUAGCAAAAGUUGAUCAACACCAGUCAUGCUCGCUAAAUAUAAAAAGAUGCAUCGCAUCCACAUCCAAGACACUCUCUCUUUCUCUCAAUCACCUAAUGCAGCUUAAACUAACGAGUAAAUUCUGAGAGCCUAAGUUCAAGAAGUUCCUUAUACCUUGAAUCUUAACCCUGACAUCACAAAAACACAUACCAAAGGCUUCACUUUUAUGCAAAAACAUGGAAGAAACAACUACUAAUAUUGAUCAAACAUCAACCAUGCUCACUAAAUGUGUCAAGAAUCUUCUCAUCCACAUCCAAGAACACUCUCUUUCAGUUAAUUACCUAAUGCAGCUUAAACUAACGAGUAAAAACUCAAGAAGUUCCUCAUACCUUGAUGACUUCAUCAAGAAGAAGAACAUGCGUAAAAGGAUCUCUCUUCUUCGACAGCACACGCUGCAAAUGCCACACAGCCUUUACAAGCGCAUACAACUGAUCCAUACAACUCCCCAUCCUCUGCCACAGCGCCUCCCUAACCUUCCCUCCACCACCAAUAUGCGGCGCUCCGCUAGACCUAAUCCCUCCCGGCCCAUAACCACCACCACCAGGCCCAGAAGAAAUCGCUUUCAUGUCCAUCGCAACGCCUACACUCUUCACAGCCAUCCCCUUGUACUUGUUCACCAAUUGAUCAACCGUAAGCUUAAGCUCUCCAAGGUUAUAGAAAACCUGCAACCCAGUCCCAACCUCAGCUUGAUUCAGCCCUUCCACGCCUCUCUCCAACACCUUCAUGGCUUCAGAUCUCAGCUUCUCCCCGAUCUCGUUAACAAACUUAAUCUCCUCGUCGAUGACGUCGAUCCCGAAGAGAUCGUACUCUCUACACAUCGUCAAGAUCUCGAAAUGGAGCUGCGCGGCUUUCGUGAGAUCGAUCUUCUCCGGAUCGGAUCCGUCCGUUAGAUCGCGGAGCUUCUUGGAGAGGCGGAGGGCGCGGACGGAGUGAGAGAGGAGCUCGGUGGCGGAGUGGAGGUUCGAGAGCUGAGUAGAUUUGGAUCUGAUUGAUCGCACGGGCUCGGAGAGAUCGGAUCGGAUGCGGCGGAUGGAGGAUUGGAGGGAGGAGACGGAGGAGCGGAGGGAGGAGAGGGAGAUCUCGGCGUGGGAGAGGGAGGAGAGCUGGGAGAGGAGCUCGGGGUGGCGGGAGACGACGUCGGUGCGGAGCUGGGAGUCGAGGAGGCGGAUGGCUUGGUGGAGACGCUCGGCGGUGGAGGCGGGGGAUCCGGAGGCGAGUGCGGCGGAGGAGAAGGAGGAGGAGGAGAAGGAUGGGGAGAGGAAUGGGGCGAGGAUUGGGUCGUUGGCGAAGGAGUCUAGCGGUGAAGAUGAAGAAGACGGUGGUGAGGGUCCGGAAGGAGGUGGGUUUUUGAAGGUGGAGAGACGUUGAAGAGAUGGUGACGAUGAUGGGGAAUGAGGAGGAAGUGCCAUCAUCUCUCUCUCUCUCUCUCUCGCGAGUAAUUUUUUUUUUCUUGCUUCUAUGUUUGUUCCCUCAGCUUAGUAUUUUAUCGGCUUUUAGUACACUGGAGUUGCAAUCGAACAGAGUUUUUAUGGUCUGAUCGAUCCAGCACUACCGGAAUACAUUUGAUUUGCGAACUUUGUAUUUUAAUUUUGGGGAUGGAUUGUUAGAAUUGAAUCAUGGAAUCAUAUAAUGGAAUUUGAAGUUGAUCCGUCAGCUAGGUGGCCAAAUGUUUGAAGUUGAUCCGUCAAUUACUAAAGCUUUUUUAGGCUAGAAAUGUUGUGGCCCAACAAAGGAUAAGCAUUAUGUUUGGUAAGCUAUAUGAGAGAGUUAACAAAUCCCAAACCUAUCAUAUAGAGGAAUUCCAUGUGAUAUUUUACCCAAUGGUGUCUCACAUUCCUUAUUUUUUAGUUUGAUGCACAAUGGCAUCACAUUUAUAAUUUUCGAAAUUUCUAUAGUUUUCUCCAAAUCUAUAAUUCAUAAUUUCAAGCUGUUUUAUUCUCCAAUUUAAUCCCUCCAAAUCAUUAAUCCAUUGGAAAAUAACAUAUUUUAUCAAACAAAUUUUGAAAUUAACUUUUGGACUGGAAAAAUAUGAAGAUGAUUAUAUUAUUUUGUAAACAUUACGAUAUAUAGUUGCAAAAUUACUUGUUCAAUACAAAAGAUGAAACUGAACUCAUCUUUGAUUCAAAUCUGUAUAUUAUUUUACCGAUUAUUUGAUAAAUUUUGAAAAUGGAGGAUUUAAACUCACAAAUUGAAAAUUUGAAAAUAGUUUAGAAUUUUUAAAGUUGUAAAUAAUAGAUCUUUUGUGAAAUCGGUAUAGAACAUGCUAUAACUUAUAAUAUAAAACCUAAACAAAACAGUUAUAAAAAUAUUAUGCGUAUAAGCUAACAUAUCUAAAAUUUUAAAAUUUUCAUAUAUGUUUAAAAUUAUUCGAUAUUUUAUCAAAAAAACAAAUUAAAAAAAACUGAAUUAUCUAAAAAAUUAUCCAAAGUAAACAAAAAUAUCCUUAAAAUUAAAAAUAUAUUAGAAUCGAAUUAGACUCGAAAUUUUUUCGAGUAUUAACCGGUUCCUAAUGUUUUAAUCCGAACCGAUGAACUUAAAUAACCUAACCAAAUUUUAUAAACAUCCAAAAAAAAUAAAUAUAUUUUUAGCAAAAAAAAAAAAGACUAAAUCGAACCAAAACCAAAAUGCCCAGACCUAUAUCAAGAUCUACUGUACACAUAGGGAUCUGAUUACAUUGGAAUGGGAAAUCACACUUUUGUCACACCUAAGCAUUGUGAAAGCGACUUCAGGGAGACACUUGUCACUACAUAAUUGGUAUGCUACGUCAUCAACUCUCUUGAAUCGCAUCAAAACGUACGACGCCUUCCACACACAUCAAAACGGCGUUUCCGAGAACCGCGUCUGCGCUCUCAGCUUUCUAUAGGGUCUUUUGUAUAUGUUUUCGCUUCGUCUCUGUUCAUCUUCCGUAUACCGUAAGACAAUGACGGUUAGGUCCACCGGGAGAAAACUCUCCUUCGAGAUUCUCAGCUCCUUGGAGGACGAUUCACUUCCGCCAAUCCCCCGAUCCAGCUCAGAUCCGAUCAGCCGAAACGACUCCACUGAAUCAUCAUCGCCUAAGCGAAGGAGACACAGGAAGAAGAAGAAACACAACAACAACAACAAAGUCGAGACUAUUCCUGAGAAUGGCGAUCCUCAAUUUACAUCCGUGGAGGAUCCGAGCUGGGCUUCCUGCGACGAAGGUGAGAGAUCGGUUUUCGAAAACCGAUUGAAUUACUUCGGCGGUGGCGGCGGUGGAAGUACAGUCGUGACGCAGACGAUACAGCAUAACGGGUUUAGUUUCGGGAAGCUGAGGCAGAGGAACGUUAACGGGAGUAGUAUCGACUCGACUAACGAUGAGAGAUUCUCUGAGACCUUGGCUUCUGAAAAGGAGAAUCCACCGUUUGAAGAAGUGCAGAAUCAGUUUCCGAGGAGUGAGACGAAUGGGAAUGUGGUGGUGACGAGGCUUGACACUGAGUCUUCUUUGGACUGGAAACAGCUUAUGGCUGAUGAUCCUGAUUGUAAGUUUCAGUCUUUCAUUGACUGUGCUCUCUUUUCCUUCUUGUGUGUGUCUCUCUAAUGGUUGCUAUUGUUGUUAUCAGUUCUUAGUGCUGAGACGAGGUCACCUAUGAAGUACUUCAUGGGGGAGAUUUACGGUGGGGUCUCGUUACGGAGCACGACUACUUCUGGGAAUGAUGUUGAACGGGAGAGGAUAUAUGAUAUGAUCUUCCGCUUGCCUUGGCGAUGCGAAGUGGUAAAAACACUGUCUGAACGUUCUAUGUGUUUUAUGUUGUGUUCUUGUAGUUGAUAGGUUUAAACUUGUGGUGUGAGGGAGCUACCUUAACUGAAGUUAAAUUGUGUUGCAGCUUCUACACACUGGCUUUUUUGUCUGCGUCAACUCAUUUCUGUCGUUGUUGACUGUCAUGCCAAUAAGAGUCCUGUUGACAUUCUGGGGUGCUUUUAAGAAGAGGUGAGUCACUUUCUACAUUCUUCCUUGAUAUAUAUAACAUACUCUGUAUUACCACAAUGUGCAUCUUUGACGCAAGUUUCGAUAUACAUACGAUUCUGUUAUUCCCUUUGGGGAGGAAGUAACUUAGUAGUAUUCGUGGCAGGCAGUUCAGGAGGCCUUCCUCAUCGGAGCUGUCUGAUCUUGCUUGUUUUCUAGUUUUGGCUUCUGGUACCAUUCUUCUUGGCAGAACAGGUGCAGUCGAAUCUUCUUGAUUUGCAUAAACUUGUUAUAUAUUUUACGUUUUAUCUAUCAAAACAUGCCUAGUGAUACCAUGGUUUUCUUUCUACAGAUAUCAGCCUAAUUUAUCACAUGAUUCGUGGUCAAAGUACCAUAAAACUAUAUGUGGUUUAUAAUAUCUUAGAGGUAACGUAAACCCCCUUCUAGAUUUCUUUCAGCUCUGAUUUUUCAUGUUCAUUUAACUUUACUUCCUUCCAUCACUUACAUGGUUUAGUUGCGUAGUUUACUUCUCUAACCAAUUAGUACUAAUACAGAUAUUUGAUAGACUCUGUCAAAGCUUUUGUGGAGAUGUAUUUGGGGCUCUGUUUAGUUCCGCAGCGGGACUGGCUAUUUCCCCUCCUGAGAAACUGAGAUUUUGUACUUGGAGAUUCGUUUCGGAUCUGGCAUUAACUAUGGUUGCGUCGAAUAUCCUUAUCAUUUGAUUACUAGUUUGAUUUCUGUGUAACUACUUUCACAUCUUUAUUCUCUUGUCUCCUUGACUGUCUCUUCACUUCUCCAUUCGUUCAUUCUUUUAGCUCAGGCAAUUACGUUGUCAACUUGUAUUGUUGCUCACAACAAUGCCUUGUUGGCCCUUCUGGUGUCAAAUAACUUUGCUGAGAUCAAGAGCAGUGUCUUCAAGCGUUUCAGCAAAGACAACAUUCAUGGUCUAGUAUAUGCAGGUAAGCUUCUACUCCAUUCCCUUUCGUGGAAUUUUGUAUCUAAGAACAAUUAUGUGCCUCAUACAGCUUUGAACAUCCCUUUGAGACUCUCAUUCAAACUAUUAACUGGUAUGAUCUGGUUGUUUUACUAUUUCUCUACCAGAUGCAAUAGAGAGAUUCCACAUAUCGGCCUUCUUGGUGUCUGUUUUGGCUCAAAAUAUUCUCGAGGCUGAAGGUCCAUGGCUUGGAAACUUUAUCUACGUAAGUACUGAUAAAUUACACACGAGUCUCUUUACAGGUUGCUCUUAAUUAAUUUUACAUGGACUCUGCAGAAUGCUACUAUGGUCUUCUUCUGUGAGAUGAUGAUAGACAUCAUCAAGCAUUCAUUUCUUGCCAAGUUCAAUGGCAUCAGACCUAUAGCGUACUCUGAGUUUCUUCAAGCUCUCUGCGAGCAGGUACUGAUGAUAUAACCUUCUCUAUCUCUCUUGCUGUUACAUUGGCCCUAUAAAUUCUAUUGAUGUAUCGAGUAUUGCGUUAGAAACACCUAUUUAUCUUUUUAUGGUAAUCUUCUUUGUCAGACUUUGAACAUCCGCCCAGAAGAUAGAAAGACAAAUCUCACAUUCGUACCCAUUGCACCGGCUUGUGUGGUAUAUUCUUCUUCCCUUUUGGCCUAGAAACUUAUGAAUCACUUGCUUGUGUUAAGUCAAAAUGAAUGUGUUUUUUUUUUGAGUUUCAGGUGAUCAGAGUACUGACUCCAGUAUAUGCAGCACACGUGCCUUGUAGUCCACUCCCAUGGAGAGUGAUGUGGAUGGUCUUUUUAUUUGUCAUAACAUGUAUAAUGCUGACAAGUCUCAAAGUUCUCAUCGGCAUGGGACUUAGGAAACAUGCAACUUGGUACAUUAACAGAUGCAGAAGGCGAAACUCCUCCCAUCUACACAACGAUUAGCCUGACUCUUAAAAACUACUGAGAAUUGAAGAAAGGUUUUCAUGUGGUAACACCUCAGCAGGAAAGAGUUUGCACAGGAGGAGAGUGGAUCAACCGGGUUGCACUCGACUCAGAUCCAGUUACAUCUUUCUUUUUGGUAUAUGAGAAUAUGAGAUCAUCGUUGUGAUCUUAUACAUGUUUAAUAUUCGAUGAAGCGAUUUUGGUAAUUGUUAGGCAAAUAUGUACAAAGAGACCCCAUGGAUCAUUUUGGCAAAGAACAAAAGCUAUCACAGGACAACUAGCCAUACUACUCUUCUUCGUCACAGGACAAUCUCAUCCCAUUUUCUGACUUGUCAAAACUAAUUUCUGACUUGUCUUAAAGCUUCCCAUUACCCUAACAUGGGAUGCAAAGUGACAAAGAAGGGAUCAUGAACAAUUAGUCUAAACUCUGAUCCAAUACAACCUUUUGGGAUUUAAGAUCAACUUUGUGAUCCUAUACAUAUUGAAUAUUCGAGGAAUCGAUUUUAAUAUAGUUAGACAUAUGAAAUGUGUAAAGAGUGAGUUAGCUCUUCUAUAGAGAAAUACUUUUGCUUAAAUCAUAUUUAUUUUUAUAAUAAAUCUAUUUCUGUUUUCUUAAACUAAAAUAUAUGCACACAAAGAUAUAUUUUCAGUAUAUUUUUGAAUCUGAAUUAUUUAUUUUCUAGAAUCCAAAUUUGAAGGACUGAUGUUUUACCUUUUUUUAUAUAUUUAAAAAUUAGAUAUUGUAAAAUUUAAUAAAUGUAACUAGUUUUAAAAAUAAAAUAUUAAAAUAUGAGUGAGUAAAUUUAUGAAAAGAUAAAUAAAAUAUUAAAUUAAUUACAAAUAAAACUAAAAAAUAAUAGAUAAAUGAGUGUAUUAAUUUUGUUUUAAUGUCUAAAUACUUAUAUCAAUUUUUAAAAACGGAAAAGUAUAAGUUAAAACAAAUGAGAGAAAGUACAUAAAAGCUGAAAAGUGAGAAUUGGGUAUGUUAUGUAUUGUAUUUGCAUGUAAAUGAUAUUUUAUAAUAUAACAUUAUAAAUUUUAUGUAACAUUAGAAAAAAAAGAAAAGAAACGUCAAAAUAAUAAUAUCUCUGGUGAAGUCUCUCUCUGACUUGCAACCCUUUUCUUCUCCAGUUGAUUAGAUUUUUCCCACUUUACACUUUCUCCCAUUCUCUCCACCGCUCUGCGACAAUGUCGGUAAGCUUUCUCCAUUCUCCCCCAUCUUCUUCUUUUUCUUCCUUCCGUUUCUUCAGAUUCGGGUCCAAGUCUUCGCCUAUUUCCAGAUCUUAUUUAGAUAAAAGGUUGUUUUUUUUUUGUUUCCCCGUGAAAAUGGUGGCUUACGUUCUACUGAAAAACUUGAUAAAUCUGCUAAAAUCAUCAUCAACUUUACACCGACCCUUGAUCUGAUGUUCUUUUGAAUAAGUCUUGAGAUCUCUUCACUGUGUCGGUCGGUUACCUAAAGAAAAACAAAAAGGAAAAAACUUUCUUCAGUUCAAAGUUUUUGUCGUUGAAUCUACAGUGUUAGGAUUCUGUUCUCAAUAUGCUAACUUUAAUCAAUUAGAACCAAGAGUCAAUAGAUUCAACUUACUAAUAUUCGAUACCUUUGGCUUUUAUGAAUAUUGAUCUCUCUCUACAGGCUGCUUUCAUUCCUAUGGAUCAAUCUCAGAACAACAUUCUCAUGGAUUCCCAGCCUACUACUUCCUCUGUAUGGUUUAUAAGUUGCUAGUUAUGGCAAUUGAAACAAUGUAUAACAAGCCUUGAUUCGGAUCCGUUCUUGUUGCAGGUGAAAACUGUGAAGAUUAGCAAUGUUUCACUCAAUGUCUCCAAGAAAGAACUCAACGAGUUCUUUUCUUUCUCUGGGGACAUUCACUACGUGGAGAUGCGAAGGUUGAACUAAAAAAACUUGUCCUUGUUAAUAUCAUCUUUACCCAAAAUAUCUAAUCUUAGUUACUUAUCAUCAUCACAGUGAGACGCAAGAAACUCAGCUUGCUUAUGUUACUUUCAAGGAUCCCCAAGGAGCAGAGACUGCUAUGCUCUUAACGGUAUUUUCUUUAUGUGUUUCUUUCUUUCUGUCACCAUAUUGUGGGAAUGUAAAGAUGUUUACACUAAUUUUCUUUAGGGAGCUGUCAUUGCUGAUCAUCGUGUCAGUAUUACUCCUGCUGUUAACUACGAGCUGCCACCAGAAGCCCUUGCACUUGACUCGGUAAAUCCCAAAAGAUAAUCUCUCCGUUUCAGAUUAAUUGUUGUUCUAGAGUUUAAAGUUUAAUUUCAAGUUUUUCUCAUUUUAUCUGUAUUCUUUUAGUUCAUUAACUAACACAAUAAAAUAAAAUAAUGAAUUUAUCAGGGAUAAAAAGUGAAAUUUAAUGAUUUUCUUAAUCUGUGUGAAAAAAUUAGAACACAAAUAAAAUGUGUGAAAAAAACUAGGAAGAAAAAUAAAAUGAAACAGAGAACUCUUUACUUUCAAUGUUUCACCUUUAGUUUUCAUGUUUGUCUCCUCUGUUGCAGCNNNNNNNNNNNNNNNNNNNNNNNNNNNNNNNNNNNNNNNNNNNNNNNNNNNNNNNNNNNNNNNNNNNNNNNNNNNNNNNNNNNNNNNNNNNNNNNNNNNNCUUAGGUUCUAUUGAGAUGAUUGCAGAAUUUGACUUGGUAAUUCAAGAUCAUAUUAGACGCAUUCAAAGUCAAGAAAUUCAUCAUCAUUAUCUUGGUCAUAAUAUUCAGAAUGAGUUUAUCUCUCUUUUAGCUCAUAAUGUUUAACUUUCUAUAGUAGAAAUCAUUAAAGAGGCAAAAUAUUUUUCUGUCAUUCUUGAUUGUACACCAGAUGUGAGCCAUCAAGAGCAAAUGACUCUAAUAAUACGAUGUGUGAAUCUGUCAAACAAAAAAGUAAGAAUACAAGAGUACUUCUUAGAGUUUGUUAAGGUAGAUGACAUAUCUGGAUUAGGACUUUUUGAAAAAUUGUUAGAUUCUCUAAAGUCUCUAACUCUUGAUGUUGGUAAUGUGAAAGGUCAAGGUUAUGAUAAUGGUUCCAAUAUGAAAGGAAAACAUCAAGGUGUUCAGAAACGAUUUCUUGAUAUAAAUCCAAAAGCAUUAUAUAUGACAUGUGCUUGUCAUAGUCUUAAUCUUGUGGUUAGCGAUAUGGCUCAUUCAUGUGUUAAGGCUAUUUCAUUCUUUGGAAUUUUGCAGCGCAUAUAUGCCUUGUUUUCUGGUUCUACAAAGAGAUGGAAGAUUUUACUUGACCAUGUUCUUUUUUUUACAGUGAAAUCCUUAUGCAAUACUCGUUGGGAGAGUCGAAUCAAGAGUGUCAAAGCAAUCAGAUUUCAAGCUCCACAAGUAAGGUCAGCUUUAUUGGAAUUAUAUGAAUCAUGUGAUGAUGCUAUGACAAAAAGUGAUGCUGAAAGCUUAAUCUUGUCAUUUGAUAAUUUUGAAUUCUUAAUUGGCAUGGUCAUUUGGUAUGAAAUUUUGUUUGCUAUUAAUUCGGUGAGUAAAAACUUACAAGCUAAAUCUGUUUGUAUUGAUAAUGCUUUGAAACAACUAGAAGGUGUAGUUCUAUUUUUGGAGAAGUUUAGACAUGAAGGGUUUGCCUCUAGUUUGGGUAUAGCUCAAAAUAUUGCUCAUGAUAUGGAUGUUGAUCAUGUCUUUCCAAGUAAGCAUCGUAUCUUUAGGAAAAACAAUUUCAUGAAACUCAGUUAGGUGAAGAAGUACUAACUGGUGAAGAUGAUUUCAGAGUUAAUUACUUUAUAGUUGUGGUAGACAUGGCAAUAACUUCGGUCAGGAACAGAUUUGAUCAAAUGGUGAAUUUUAAAAAUGUUUUUGGAUUUCUAUUUGAUUUGAAAAAAUUAAAGGUAUUAGGUGAAAGUGAAAGUGAACUACGAGAACAUUGUACUAACUUUCACAAAGUUUUUUUCUGGUAAUUUUUCAGAUGUUGAUUUAAAUGAUUUUUAUUCUGAAUUGAGAAUCUUGCAAACUACUUUACCUGAUGUGCCUAUGGAACCUAGUGAAGUUCUU
Molecule: long non-coding RNA, 18769 nt
Filed under: Brassica napus (rape)
Lineage: Eukaryota; Viridiplantae; Streptophyta; Magnoliopsida; Brassicales; Brassicaceae
Description: long non-coding RNA (BNAP_LNC019115)
Source: RNAcentral